This is a long non-coding RNA of Dicentrarchus labrax (European seabass), 1776 nucleotides long. RefSeq lists it as uncharacterized. The transcript is spliced from 2 exons. The record is from RefSeq and is a predicted model, not a curated record. NCBI's taxonomy places the organism in Eukaryota, Metazoa, Chordata, Actinopteri, Moronidae.
CACACACACACACACGCAUGCCUCUAAAAAUAGUCUAAACUUGUCCUCUCCCUUGCUGAGGCCAGAAGACAGAUGGCAUCUCAGCUAACAUGUAUGUUCAUCCAACUAAUGAGCAGCAGGAUAACGAAUCUUAACACAACAUGAAGCACUGAUUCUCCUCACAAACACAGAAAUGUACCUUGAUUUCUGGGGGCAGCGUGAGCCAUCGGACCGCCGGCAGUCCAUCGAGGAAAAGCGUCCCGAAACGUUCGGGGGGUGGGGCUGAGGCGACGUCCCUCAAGCGGGACGGCUGGAUGAGCUGCUGAAAGAACAGGCAGAAGAAAUGGUCCAACCUGGGAGCAUGGUCGGCCUUACAGAAGGCACUGUGGAGGACACAAUGAAGAAAAGAGUGUCAUGAUAACAGUAAUUUAAGUAAUACAACUAUAAAAGAGUGAUUACAUUGUGAGAAACAAAGAAAUAGAAGGGGAAAUUAUUUGAGAGCAAAGAAAAGGGGGUUAAGAGAGUAAGACAGUUUAGACUUUGUGUAAAAUCCAGCUGGUGAAACACACUGUUUUUAUUUCAGUAUAUUUUGCAUUAAGCAUAUAAUAAUGGCUGCCAGAGAGGGGAAGUCUCAACCAGCUCUCCCAGCAGGACCACAGGAAAGCUAGGGCCGACCAACCUGUCUAAGGAGCCGUACAUCACUUUUAGUGUCCUGACUACGUCUCCCACCACCGUCUGCAGAUACAGCAGUGGAACCCUGGAGGGAAACGGAAAAAUGUCAAACCCAGACUUGGACAAACUUCAAUUUCAGCUGCUUAUCAAAUAUUUGGAGUAACGGCCAGGAACCAUGAAGGAAAAACAUUUUAUAAGUUAUUGUUUUGUCUAUACGUGGGUGUUCCUCAAGAAUCAACCCUUUAGGCAUGAAUGAGACUGAUUCUCAACCGAGAUGAUGAUGGAUUGGGGUUGACCUGAAAAGGAGGCUAAUAUGACUCAUCUCAUGAACUGUUUUACUACCACAUGCUCCUGAAAGAGGUAUUCAUGCUGCCAACAAAGAACAAAAAGAGCACAUGUGCUUGCUAAAAUUGAGAAAAAAUGAUGGUCCCUUUUCAAUUGUUUUUACAGAUCGUGCUCUUAAAUAUGUUUCCUCAUCUCCAAAAAUUACUUCUUGAGCAAAAGUCAUGCUCAGAAAAUGUAUUACCACAUCAGUAUCAGCCCCGGAUUUUUUAAAAAAAAUAAGAAAAUGUGCUGUCAGAUCUUUUACACAGGUGCCACAUGGAAGCAACUCUUGCUGUGUAAUAUUUAUCGAAUUUUCAGCUGGCAAAGGCUGCAGUUCAAAUGAAAUGUGGUGGAGCUAUCUCGGUGUAUUUGUCCUCCCUCUACCUUUCAGCAGGAAGUCCGAUGACCAACAGGUUGUUGCUUUCCUUCCAGUAGCCCACAUGUACCAGAUGUUUCCCGAGCAGGAGAGAAGAACUAAAGGGAGAGAAGACAAAAAAAACGCCAAAAUCAAAGCACAUGUGACAUAUAGAUCAGAAAAAGAUGAGGGCGGGGUUAACAUAAACAGAAAUAGAAUACAUCCCCCAAUAGCCAAAAUUAUCUCCCAGCUCACUGUUGUUUUAAACUCAACUGUGAACUGCGUUGAUUUUUAAAACAUCCAGAAGUGAACUGGCAGAAAAGUUAAUUUGGGGGAGCUACAACAAAAAUAAUUUGGGAACUCCUUAUUAAAGCUGAUUUCAUCAUCCUCACAUUCAUGUUGAUUGCUUAUUAUCAUUUUUUAAUAAAGAGCCAUCUUUUCUUGUG